Molecule: ribosomal RNA, 253 nt
Filed under: uncultured bacterium
Lineage: Bacteria
Description: partial 16S ribosomal RNA
Rfam family: Bacterial small subunit ribosomal RNA
Source: RNAcentral
UACGUAGGGUGCGAGCGUUGUCCGGAAUUAUUGGGCGUAAAGGGCUCGUAGGCGGUCUGUUGCGUCAGGAGUGAAAACUCGGGGCUUAACCCCGAGCCUGCUUCUGAUACGGGCAGACUAGAGGUAUGCAGGGGAGAACGGAAUUCCUGGUGUAGCGGUGAAAUGCGCAGAUAUCAGGAGGAACACCUAUGGCGAAGGCAGCUCUCUGGUACGUGACUGACGCUGAGACGCGAAAGCGUGGGUAGCAAACAGG